Molecule: ribosomal RNA, 422 nt
Filed under: uncultured Lachnospiraceae bacterium
Lineage: Bacteria; Bacillati; Bacillota; Clostridia; Lachnospirales; Lachnospiraceae
Description: bacterial SSU rRNA
Rfam family: Bacterial small subunit ribosomal RNA
Source: RNAcentral
GGAGGAAUAUUGCACAAUGGGGGAAACCCUGAUGCAGCGACGCCGCGUGAACGAAGAAGUAUUUCGGUAUGUAAAGUUCUAUCAGCAGGGAAGAUAAUGACGGUACCUGACUAAGAAGCACCGGCUAAAUACGUGCCAGCAGCCGCGGUAAUACGUAUGGUGCAAGCGUUAUCCGGAUUUACUGGGCGUAAAGGGAGCGUAGGCGGUCUGAUAAGUUGGAUGUGAAAUACCCGGGCUUAACUUGGGGGGUGCAUCCAAUACUGUUGGACUAGAGUACAGGAGAGGAAAGCGGAAUUCCUAGCGUAGCGGUGAAAUGCAUAGAUAUUAGGAGGAACAUCGGUGGCGAAGGCGGCUUUCUGGACUGCAACUGACGCUGAGGCUCGAAAGCGUGGGGAGCAAACAGGAUUAGAUACCCUGGUAGU